This 85-nucleotide transfer RNA is filed under the name Planctomycetaceae bacterium. RNAcentral describes it as "tRNA-Leu". It matches the Rfam family "tRNA". Rfam says of the family: Transfer RNA (tRNA) molecules are approximately 80 nucleotides in length. Lineage: Bacteria; Pseudomonadati; Planctomycetota; Planctomycetia; Planctomycetales; Planctomycetaceae. The record is from RNAcentral.
GGCCGAGUGGCGGAAUGGCAGACGCACGGGACUUAAAAUCCCGGGACCGGUUUCGGUCGUACGGGUUCGAGUCCCGUCUCGGCUA